CUUCGCACCCUUUCUUCUAACUCUCUCAUUGCCCUUUUCCCCAAGCUUAAAACCUUUUGUUCUUCACUUCAUUAUCCCUAAUCUCUUGUUUCCUAUAAUUUGAUUAUAAAAUGGGAGACCCAAAGAGGAAUCAAAUAAGAGAUUAUUUGUGUCCAACGAAUCGAUCUUCUACUAAUAAUCAAACCUCAAACAAUAACACAUCACAAAGUUCAAUCCCCUUGCCUACCAUAAAAGGGUCUUUGUGGCCAAAACCAUUAUCAAACCCAUCAGAAAGCACUUCUUCAUCAAAUGGUACUUCAUCAAGCCCUAGGCCAUCUUCAAUCAAUAUGGCGAAUAUUUUUGGUCGUCGCAAACAAGGUUGAUGAAUCCAUGACGACCCACCAACUCGGAUCAUAGCACAUCUCAUCACCAAUAUGGGUCUUAUAGUAUGUUGCUUCUUUUUUUUUGUCAUAUAUAUAUAUAUAUAGUUGGAAUAUUUGCAAUAAUAUGUUAUUUUGUUAUGAUGUGAUCGAAAUAGUGGAUCUCAUAGGAUGAAGCAGUUGCUUGUUGAUACUUAAUUAUAUCACUUUGUAUAACAUAAAGUUGAUGAAGAUCAUUACCCAAGUGUGUGACGCUUUUGUAUU
This is a non-coding RNA of Arachis ipaensis, 623 nucleotides long. Lineage: Eukaryota; Viridiplantae; Streptophyta; Magnoliopsida; Fabales; Fabaceae. The record is from RefSeq and is a predicted model, not a curated record.